AGUGAACGCUGGCGGUAGGCCUAACACAUGCAAGUCGAACGGCAGCACAGUAAGAGCUUGCUCUUACGGGUGGCGAGUGGCGGACGGGUGAGGAAUACAUCGGAAUCUACUUUUUCGUGGGGGAUAACGUAGGGAAACUUACGCUAAUACCGCAUACGACCUACGGGUGAAAGCAGGGGAUCUUCGGACCUUGCGCGAUUGAAUGAGCCGAUGUCGGAUUAGCUAGUUGGCUGGGUAAAGGCCCACCAAGGCGACGAUCCGUAGCUGGUCUGAGAGGAUGAUCAGCCACACUGGAACUGAGACACGGUCCAGACUCCUACGGGAGGCAGCAGUGGGGAAUAUUGGACAAUGGGCGCAAGCCUGAUCCAGCUAUACCGCGUGGGUGAAGAAGGCCUUCGGGUUGUAAAGCCCUUUUGUUGGGAAAGAAAAGCAGCAGGUUAAUACCCCGCUGUUCUGACGGUACCCAAAGAAUAAGCACCGGCUAACUUCGUG
RNAcentral lists this ribosomal RNA (492 nucleotides) under uncultured bacterium. RNAcentral describes it as "partial 16S ribosomal RNA". It matches the Rfam family "Bacterial small subunit ribosomal RNA", at positions 29 to 507 of the family's 1533-position model. The record is from RNAcentral.